RNAcentral lists this ribosomal RNA (253 nucleotides) under uncultured bacterium. Its description in RNAcentral is "partial 16S ribosomal RNA". It matches the Rfam family "Bacterial small subunit ribosomal RNA", at positions 524 to 776 of the family's 1533-position model. The record is from RNAcentral.
UACGUAGGGGGCAAGCGUUGUCCGGAUUUAUUGGGCGUAAAGAGCGUGUAGGCGGCCAUGCAGGUCCGCUGUGAAAACUCGAGGCUCAACCUCGAGACGUCGGUGGAAACCGCAUGGCUAGAGUCCGGAAGAGGAGAGUGGAAUUCCCGGUGUAGCGGUGAAAUGCGCAGAUAUCGGGAAGAACACCCGUGGCGAAGGCGGCUCUCUGGGACGGUACUGACGCUGAGACGCGAAAGCGUGGGGAGCGAACAGG